Molecule: ribosomal RNA, 425 nt
Filed under: uncultured bacterium
Lineage: Bacteria
Description: bacterial SSU rRNA
Rfam family: Bacterial small subunit ribosomal RNA
Source: RNAcentral
GAUGAACGCUGGCGGCGUGCCUAACACAUGCAAGUCGAACGGAGCACCCCGGAACGAGACUUCGGUCAAGGGAAGGGAAUGCUUAGUGGCGGACGGGUGAGUAACGCGUGAGGAACCUGCCUUCCAGUGGGGGAUAACACAUCGAAAGGUGUGCUAAUACCGCAUAACGUAUGUUUACCGCAUGGUAGAGAUACCAAAGAUUUAUUGCUGGAAGAUGGCCUCGCGUCCAAUUAGCUAGUUGGCGGGGUAAAUGCCCACCAAGGCGACGAUUGGUAGCCGGACUGAGAGGUUGAACGGCCACAUUGGGACUGAGACACGGCCCAGACUCCUACGGGAGGCAGCAGUGGGGAAUAUUGCACAAUGGGGGAAACCCUGAUGCAGCAACGCCGCGUGAAGGAUGAAGGUUUUCGGAUUGUAAACUUCUU